RNAcentral lists this ribosomal RNA (237 nucleotides) under uncultured bacterium. RNAcentral's name for it is "partial 16S ribosomal RNA". It matches the Rfam family "Bacterial small subunit ribosomal RNA", at positions 524 to 760 of the family's 1533-position model. The record is from RNAcentral.
UACGUAGGGGGCAAGCGUUGUCCGGAAUCAUUGGGCGUAAAGAGCGUGUAGGCGGCCCGGUAAGUCCGCUGUGAAAGUCCAGGGCUCAACCCUGGGAUGCCGGUGGAUACUGUCGGGCUCGAGUCCGGAAGAGGAGUGUGGAAUUCCUGGUGUAGCGGUGAAAUGCGCAGAUAUCAGGAGGAACACCAAUGGCGAAGGCAGCACUCUGGGACGUGACUGACGCUGAGACGCGAAAGC